This is a non-coding RNA of Zonotrichia albicollis (white-throated sparrow), 486 nucleotides long. The record is from RefSeq and is a predicted model, not a curated record. NCBI's taxonomy places the organism in Eukaryota, Metazoa, Chordata, Aves, Passeriformes, Passerellidae.
CUGCAUUCAGAGGAGGAGAAGCUGAUGCAAAGUGAUUUAGUUCCUAUUUAUGUUCAUUAGGAAAGUGAAACUUUAAAAUCUUUCAGCUUUGAUGUCUCAGAUGAAGAAGAGCCAGGGGUUUGGAGGAGGUGGAUAAGGAUAAUCCAAGGACUCUUCUGCCUUCACAAUGUUUGGGGACUUAUUUGAAGAGGAUUUUUCCUUUAUUUCCAACAAUCACUAUGGGAAAGGGAAGAAAUCAAAGCCCAGAGAGUCUGAGCCUCCAGCUCCCAGGGAUUUCACCAACCUCAGUGGAAUCAAAAAUCAGGGUGGGACCUGCUACCUCAAUUCCCUUCUGCAGACUCUGCUCUUCACCCCUGAAUUUAGAGAGGCUUUGUUCUCCCUGGGACCUGAAGAACUUGGCACUCUGGAUGACAGCAGGAAACCAGAUGCAAAGGUGAUGGGAAUUUUCCUGUUCAUCACAGUUGAUUUGGAGGAAUAUGGCUGCAG